CAGGUGUCUUGAGAGGGAGACCUCUGG
This 27-nucleotide non-coding RNA is filed under the name Rattus norvegicus (Norway rat). Lineage: Eukaryota; Metazoa; Chordata; Mammalia; Rodentia; Muridae. The record is from RNAcentral.